GGGGGAUUAGCUCAGUUGGGAGAGCGCCUGCCUUGCAAGCAGGAGGUCACGAGUUCGACUCUCGUAUUCUCCA
Eubacteriaceae bacterium CHKCI004 is the source of this 73-nucleotide transfer RNA. It matches the Rfam family "tRNA". Rfam says of the family: Transfer RNA (tRNA) molecules are approximately 80 nucleotides in length. Lineage: Bacteria; Bacillati; Bacillota; Clostridia; Eubacteriales; Eubacteriaceae. The record is from Rfam.